GAAUCUUGACUUCUGUUCCUAUAACACCCAGGGUGGUUUGCUUUCUCUGUGCCAGUAGUGGGCAUGUAGAGUUGUGUAUUGCCAAGUCUGUUGUGAGCCCUUCCACAAGUUUUGUUUAGAGGAGAACGAGCGCCCUCUGGAGGACCAGCUGGAAAAUUGGUGUUGUCGUCGUUGCAAAUUCUGUCACGUUUGUGGAAGGCAACAUCAGGCUACAAAGAGCUGCUGGAGUGUAAUAAGUGCCGAAACAGCUAUCACCCUGAGUGCCUGGGACCAAACUACCCCACCAAACCCACAAAGAAGAAGAAAGUCUGGUCUGUACCAAGUGUGUUCGCUGUAAGAGCUGUGGAUCCACAACU
RNAcentral lists this long non-coding RNA (356 nucleotides) under Homo sapiens (human). RNAcentral describes it as "HSALNT0181878". The record is from RNAcentral. Lineage: Eukaryota; Metazoa; Chordata; Mammalia; Primates; Hominidae.